RNAcentral lists this ribosomal RNA (253 nucleotides) under uncultured bacterium. RNAcentral's name for it is "partial 16S ribosomal RNA". It matches the Rfam family "Bacterial small subunit ribosomal RNA", at positions 524 to 776 of the family's 1533-position model. The record is from RNAcentral.
GACGAACUGUCCUAACGUUGUUCGGAAUUAUUGGGCGUAAAGCGCACGUAGGCGGCUUUGCAAGUCGGAUGUGAAAUCCCUCGGCUUAACCAAGGAAGUGCAUCCGAAACUGCAGAGCUUGAGUACUUAAGAGGAUCGCGGAAUUCCCGGUGUAGAGGUGAAAUUCGUAGAUAUCGGGAGGAACACCAGUGGCGAAGGCGGCGAUCUGGGAAGAUACUGACGCUGAGGUGCGAAAGCGUGGGGAGCAAACAGG